RNAcentral lists this ribosomal RNA (465 nucleotides) under uncultured bacterium. Its description in RNAcentral is "partial 16S ribosomal RNA". It matches the Rfam family "Bacterial small subunit ribosomal RNA", at positions 28 to 507 of the family's 1533-position model. The record is from RNAcentral.
GACGAACGCUGGCGGCGUGCUUAACACAUGCAAGUCGAACGGAAAGGUCCUGCUUGCAGGGUCCUCGAGUGGCGAACGGGUGAGUAACACGUGGGUGAUCUGCCCUGCACUUCGGGAUAAGCCCGGGAAACUGGGUCUAAUACCGGAUAGGAGCCAUUUUUAGUGUGAUGGUUGGAAAGUUUUUUCGGUGUAGGAUGAGGUCGCGGCCUAUCAGAUUGUUGGUGGGGUAAUGGCCUACCAAGGCGGCGACGGGUAGCCGGCCUGGGAGGGUGGACGGCCACAGUGGGACUGGGAUACGGCCCAGACUCCGACGGAAGGGAGAAGUGGGGAAGAUUGAACAAUGGGAGCAAGCCUGAUGCAGCGACGCCGCGUGGGGGAUGACGGCCUUCGGGUUGUAAACUCCUUUCGCUAGGGACGAAGCUUUUUGUGACGGUACCUAGAGAAGAAGCACCGGCUAACUACGUG